Molecule: ribosomal RNA, 120 nt
Filed under: Allium schoenoprasum
Lineage: Eukaryota; Viridiplantae; Streptophyta; Magnoliopsida; Asparagales; Amaryllidaceae
Source: RNAcentral
GGGUGCGAUCAUACCAGCACUAAAGCACCGGAUCCCAUCAGAACUCCGCAGUUAAGCGUGCUUGGGCGAGAGUAGUACUAGGAUGGGUGACCUCCUGGGAAGUCCUCGUGUUGCACUCCU